AGUGAACGCUGGCGGCAGGCCUAACACAUGCAAGUCGAGCGGCAGCGGGUCCCCGCGAGGGGAUGCCGGCGAGCGGCGGACGGGUGAGGAACACAUCGGAAUCUGCCUGGUUGUGGGGGAUAACGUAGGGAAACUUACGCUAAUACCGCAUGCGACCCUGAGUCGACGGACUGGGGGUGAAAGUGAGGGACCUUCGGGCCGUCACGCGACCAGAUGAGCCGAUGUCGGAUUAGCUAGUUGGCGGGGUAACGGCCCGCCAAGGCGACGAUCCGUAGCUGGUCUGAGAGGAUGAUCAGCCACACUGGGACUGAGACACGGCCCAGACUCCUACGGGAGGCAGCAGUGGGAAUCUUGGACAAUGGGCGCAAGCCUGAUCCAG
RNAcentral lists this ribosomal RNA (379 nucleotides) under uncultured bacterium. RNAcentral describes it as "bacterial SSU rRNA". It matches the Rfam family "Bacterial small subunit ribosomal RNA", at positions 30 to 391 of the family's 1533-position model. The record is from RNAcentral.